GAUGAACGCUGGCGGCGUGCUUAACACAUGCAAGUCGAACGAGAAGUGGAGACGGAAACCUUCGGGCGGAAGACUUUAUUUCGAGUGGCGGACGGGUGAGUAACGCGUGGGUAACCUGCCUCAUACAGGGGGAUAUCAGUUGGAAACGACUGUUAAUACCGCAUAAGACCACAGCACCGCAUGGUGCGGGGGUAAAAACUCCGGUGGUAUGAGAUGGACCCGCGUUCGAUUAGCCAGUUGGCGGGGUAACGGCCCACCAAAGCGACGAUCGAUAGCCGAUCUGAGAGGAUGACCGGCCACAUUGGGACUGAGACACGGCCCAAACUCCUACGGGAGGCAGCAGUGGGGAAUAUUGCACAAUGGGGGAAACCCUGAUGCAGCGACGCCGCGUGAGUGAAGAAGUAUUUCGGUAUGUAAAGCUCUAUCAGCAGGGAAGAAAAUGACGGUACCUGAGGAAGAAGCCCCGGCUAACUACGUG
This 478-nucleotide ribosomal RNA is filed under the name uncultured bacterium. Its description in RNAcentral is "partial 16S ribosomal RNA". It matches the Rfam family "Bacterial small subunit ribosomal RNA", at positions 28 to 507 of the family's 1533-position model. The record is from RNAcentral.